GACGAACGCUGGCGGCGUGCUUAACACAUGCAAGUCGAACGGAAAGGCCCUGCUUUUGUGGGGUGCUCGAGUGGCGAACGGGUGAGUAACACGUGAGUAACCUGCCCUUGACUUUGGGAUAACUUCAGGAAACUGGGGCUAAUACCGGAUAGGAGCUCCUGCUGCAUGGUGGGGGUUGGAAAGUUUCGGCGGUUGGGGAUGGACUCGCGGCUUAUCAGCUUGUUGGUGGGGUAGUGGCUUACCAAGGCUUUGACGGGUAGCCGGCCUGAGAGGGUGACCGGCGACAUUGGGACUGAGAGACGGCCCAGACUCCUACGGGAGGCAGCAGUGGGGAAUAUUGCACAAUGGGCGGAAGCCUGAUACAGCAACGCCGCGUGCGGGAUGACGGCCUUCGGGUUGUAAACCGCUUUCGCCUGUGACGAAGCGUGAGUGACGGUAAUGGGUAAAGAAGCACCGGCUAACUACGUG
This 468-nucleotide ribosomal RNA is filed under the name uncultured bacterium. Its description in RNAcentral is "partial 16S ribosomal RNA". It matches the Rfam family "Bacterial small subunit ribosomal RNA", at positions 28 to 507 of the family's 1533-position model. The record is from RNAcentral.